RNAcentral lists this ribosomal RNA (424 nucleotides) under uncultured Alistipes sp. Its description in RNAcentral is "bacterial SSU rRNA". It matches the Rfam family "Bacterial small subunit ribosomal RNA", at positions 338 to 776 of the family's 1533-position model. The record is from RNAcentral. Lineage: Bacteria; Pseudomonadati; Bacteroidota; Bacteroidia; Bacteroidales; Rikenellaceae.
CCUACGGGUGGCAGCAGUGGGGAAUAUUGGGCAAUGGACGCAAGUCUGACCCAGCAACGCCGCGUGAAGGAAGAAGGCCUUCGGGUUGUAAAGAUCUUUAAUCAGGGACGAAACAAAUGACGGUACCUGAAGAAUAAGCUCCGGCUAACUACGUGCCAGCAGCCGCGGUAAUACGUAGGGAGCAAGCGUUAUCCGGAUUUACUGGGUGUAAAGGGAGCGUAGACGGUGUGGCAAGUCUGAUGUGAAAGGCAUGGGCUCAACCUGUGGACUGCAUUGGAAACUGUCAUACUUGAGUGCCGGAGGGGUAAGCGGAAUUCCUAGUGUAGCGGUGAAAUGCGUAGAUAUCACGAAGAACUCCGAUUGCGAAGGCAGCUCACUGGAGCGCAACUGACGCUGAAGCUCGAAAGUGCGGGUAUCGAACAGG